RNAcentral lists this long non-coding RNA (280 nucleotides) under Brassica napus (rape). RNAcentral's name for it is "long non-coding RNA (BNAP_LNC019394)". Lineage: Eukaryota; Viridiplantae; Streptophyta; Magnoliopsida; Brassicales; Brassicaceae. The record is from RNAcentral.
UUUAUUAACUUGGUGACUGUGGGUGUUCUUUACAAUGACUAUCUAAGAGCUUAUAUAAUGCUCUGGAAACUAAGUCUAACGUUCAUAAGAAGAAAAGAAAGGAAACAAAUCAAGCAAACUAACAAAAUCGGAAACUAGCCGUUGGAGCCUUUUAUGGGAUUUUGGCUCAAAGUGAGAAACUUGAUUCUUCUUGAACCUGGACGGUUUGAGAGGAUAAGAGAGCUUCCUUGGGAUAUUCCUGGGUGCUUGAUAGGUACUGAUGUCGUGCCUGAUCUGAAGA